CAGUCCGAGCAUCCUUCCGUCAUGGCUCCUAUUUCGGCUAUGUCGUUCGCUAACCUGACGGUUCUGUCUAUCUUCUUCCUCCUGGUGUUAUGCUUGCCGCCCGGGGGAGGGCAAAAGAAGAAGGAGAACUUGCUGUCAGAGAAGGUUGAGCAGAUGAUGGAGUGGUCCUCUCGCCGUUCAGUCGUCAGGAUGAACGGGGACAAGUUCCGCCGCUUUGUCAAGGCUCCACCCAGGAACUACUCUGUCAUUGUCAUGUUCACUGCCCUGCAGCCUCAAAGGCAGUGCUCUGUCUGCAGGCAGGCGAAUGAAGAGUACCAGGUCCUAGCAAAUUCAUGGCGUUACUCAUCUGCAUUUUCCAACAAGCUGUUCUUCACAGUAGUGGACUAUGAUGAAGGAGCUGAUGUUUUCCAGCAGCUGAACAUGAACAGCGCUCCAACCUUCAUGCAUUUUCCAGCUAAGGGAAAACCCAAGAGGGCUGAUACAUUUGACCUGCAAAGGAUUGGCUUCGCUUCAGAGCAGCUGGCCAAGUGGAUUGCAGACCGCACAGAUGUUCAGAUCCGUGUUUUCCGUCCUCCCAAUUAUUCAGGAACCAUUGCUUUAGCUCUGUUAGUUUCUCUGGUUGGAGGGCUGCUUUAUCUGAGGAGGAACAACUUGGAAUUCAUAUAUAACAAGACUGGAUGGGCCAUGGCUGCACUGUGUGUAGUUUUUGCAAUGACAUCUGGCCAGAUGUGGAAUCACAUCCGAGGUCCUCCAUACGCCCACAAAAACCCCCAGAAUGGACAAGUGAGUUAUAUUCAUGGCAGCAGUCAAGCUCAGUUUGUGGCUGAGUCUCACAUUAUCCUUCUUCUGAAUGCUGCAAUCACCAUGGGGAUGGUGCUGCUGAAUGAGGCUGCCACCUCCAAGGGAGAUGUUGGCAAGAGGAGAAUCAUCUGCCUGGUCGGCCUUGGCCUGGUGGUGUUUUUCUUCAGCUUCCUGCUCUCCAUUUUCAGGUCCAAGUACCAUGGAUACCCCUACAGCCUGGUCUGAUUCCACUCUGAUGUCCCUGUCUUACCUGACCUCUGAGUCGACAUCCUGCUGCUCCACAGCAAUCUUUGAAGAAACACUUCUGCUGCCUGUCUGUUCAGGGCAUGAUGCCACCUCAGUGUGCACCACCGUCUCCUCUCAUCUGCAGUCCACAAACACUUUCUCCAGGCAUCCACACUUCAGCUACACCGAACCCUGUGCCCACCGAUGACGCCACCAUCCCCUUUCCUACUAGAUCCUGCUUGUGGAUAAUCCUGGACCUG
Monopterus albus (swamp eel) is the source of this 1286-nucleotide RNA transcript. It is a transcript of the gene named tumor suppressor candidate 3, with no coding region annotated. Lineage: Eukaryota; Metazoa; Chordata; Actinopteri; Synbranchiformes; Synbranchidae. The transcript is spliced from 11 exons. The record is from RefSeq and is a predicted model, not a curated record.